This 270-nucleotide unclassified non-coding RNA is filed under the name uncultured fungus. RNAcentral describes it as "partial contains small subunit ribosomal RNA, internal transcribed spacer 1, and 5.8S ribosomal RNA". The stretch from base 1 to 73 matches the Rfam family "Eukaryotic small subunit ribosomal RNA", at positions 1759 to 1831 of the family's 1831-position model. Lineage: Eukaryota; Fungi. The record is from RNAcentral.
GCAAACUUGGUCAUUUAGAGGAAGUAAAAGUCGUAACAAGGUUUCCGUAGGUGAACCUGCGGAAGGAUCAUUAGUGAAAUAACCUGGGACUUUAUGUCUCAGACCAUCUCACAUCCAUACACCUUUGUGCACUGUUGGACAGUCCUUUUUUUCAAGGUUUGUCCUAUAAUUUCAUGAACAUUGUUAUAAGUAAGGAAACAAUAUAAUAAUAAACAAAACAAAACUUUCAACAACGGAUCUCUUGGCUCUCACAUCGAUGAAGAACGCAGC